Molecule: non-coding RNA, 70 nt
Organism: Heteronotia binoei (common prickly gecko)
Lineage: Eukaryota; Metazoa; Chordata; Lepidosauria; Squamata; Gekkonidae
Source: the annotation of a RefSeq genome assembly
GCUAUGACUCAGUGGUAGAGUAUCUGCUUAGCAUGCAGAAGGUCCCAGGUUCAAUCCCCUGGUAUCUCCA